UUUAAGAGCCAUACCAUUCUUUUCUGUUUCCUUUUUGUUCCACAUAAGGGGUUCUAAUGACUUAUUUUUGCUCUAAUCAGGGGAGCCCCUCAGCAGCUCCCCUGGUCCUCUUUCUGCCUAAGUGGCUCCUCAGCCAACUCCUCUAAAACCAUGAGUUAAUACAUGCCUGUGGUUUUUCCUAGCUGCUUUACAAAUACCUUCAGCACUAUGAUCUCACAAUACUUCUGGAAAAGCUUCUAGCAGCACCAUUUCGCAUGGAAUUAACACAAGUUUUCUAAAGCUUUCUGAUUAUUCAUGUACCUCAUGUUUAAGAGUUAUGGAGAAAGCUUUACAGUCAGGUGUACCAAGCCUUGGCACAACAACCAGGGAUAAACAACCUGCAGCUAUUCCCCAGCUUUUCUACUCAGCAGACCACACUCUGCAUUCCCAGAAGUUAUGCCAAGCAGAGGCAAGUACACAUGCUUACACUCACCAGCUAUGCUCCACUAGCCAUGCAAAGGAAGCAGCACAACUCAGUGCUGCUAUGCAGGCAGUACCAUUCUUCUGGAUACACACUUCUGCAAUACACAGAGUAGCAGUAGAUUAUAGCACUAAAGUAUCUUGACUUGUACACUAUUUAGUCUCUUGGAUUUUAAGCAGGAAUCUACUAAGAUCUUACAGAGACAGAGUACGUGGUUGGCUUGGUUGACGAAUGCCAGUCCAUCCUGAUUGAGAAAAAAAUCUAUUGAAGACUUAUCAAAAGAGAUUCAGCAAAUUCAAUUAAAAAUUAACUUCACAACAGAAGCCACAAGACAUACGGACACGCUCCCUACUGCCAGGACUAACAGGCACUGUGUUUCAAGUUUAACUUCAGUAGAGACUGUACUCUUUCAGCUUCAGUGAACUCCAGUGGGAAACAGAAGCCCUGUGCAACAGAUUGGAGAUGCCACAACCAAGCCCAUAUACUUGUAUACGUGUUGUUAACACUUUACUUUGAAAGUCUGAGCUGGGAUCGAUUGGUUCCAAGAAAAAGGAAGAUUAACUGUACCCUGGAAGGUUCUUCUAUUCCUCCAGAAAGGGCGACAGCAGCAGGUACAGCUUAAGAGUAACACAGGAUUACUCUUGGCCAAAGCUCCCAAACGGGUUAAGACCCAGCAUGGAGAAAGGACUGUUCAGCCAACUUCUGUGCCCACCUGCCUGGCAGCAAACCUGCACUCCGCGUGCACACAGAACGGAUCCUUCCUUCCACAGAAAAGGAAACCUCUGAAUGUUUAAUCUUUAUUUCGCAUCAUGCCCUAAUUUUAACAGUUUCUGUACGGUGGCUCAGUGAGGUCCACCAUCCUCAGUGAGGUCCACAGUGAGAACCCUGCAUGCAUUGGCAGAAACACAUUCCUCAAGGUACUUAUAAGAAAAGGAUACUACUAAAGGUUCCUUUGUUUUUAUCCUCCCCAAACUAUUUACUCUGGUGAGCUGCUGAAGGAUUACAGCUGCAGGGCAGCUAGAGAGACUCAAAGGUUAGCAAAAAUGGAGUGAGGUCUUAUGUGGGAGAAAAAGCUACUGAGCUGGGCAAGUAAUCUCAGCAGGUCAAGGAAAGUACUGACCUUCUUUUCAAAUACCAGAGACAUGAGGAAUCUGAGACAAAGUUUGGUGGGUUUUAUUUGUUUUCAGUGAGUUAAGAUAAAGGCUCUUCUUGUCCUGGGUUAUACCGGAGAUUUCAGAAAAGCAGCUUCGUACUUUGCUGUGGCUUUGUGGAAAAUUGGUAGGGCCAAUGGGGGCUUGCACUGCUGAUCAGCUUUCAGCUGCUCUGAUACAUCACUUGGUCUAAUACAUUUCCAUACACACAAUAAAGAGCUUUCAAGGUAUCCAGGAAUUACCACUUGAACAAAUAGGCCUCAGAGCCAGAGGCUGAGUACUGGGAAGGCAGCAGCAGUUGAAUCAGCUCAAGCACAGAAUGAAAUUUGGCUGCUGUCCCUUUCACAGCUGCAUGACCUCUCCUGCUCAGCCCUCCAGCAAAGAGCCUGGGAAUGGGGAGACAUAUUUGAGCAGAACACAAUAGGAAUAUUGUUGCAGCUCCCACGGGGCACCAGCAUUGUAGAAUAUGCUGUUGCACAGUUGGAACAGACUACUGCUGGCCACUCAAUCUGUUACCGUGCAUUUUUCUUUGAAAGAUUUUAGGCUAAUAGCUAGCAAUAAAGACAGAUUUUGGAGUUAAGAUGCAGCAGCUUUCACAUUCAGUGAAAUACUCAAAUGAGAGUUCACAUCAAUGUUUUUAUCAUCAUGGUGCAGAAAUACAAGUGAAAGCUGAUGUUAUUAACAAAACAGCAAACUUUCAAGAGCCUUCUUCAGCAAGAAGAAUAGAAGCUUAAGCUCUUUAGUUAUCUCAGGAAUCCUAAGACCAUAUAUCAUUAAUUAUACCAAAUAGUUUCUCACGUCUUUCAAUCUCAGAUUGCAGUAUAUGGAAGAAGGUAUGUCUGGGGUAGCUAUGGAAGUGAUCAUUCCCAGAGAACUUCCAUCUGCAGCCCAUUACCUUUGGCAGAGGAUCUGUCAUAUAACCAGAUGGGAUGCUCACAUUUUUUUUUACUGCCAGGUGACACAAUGGGUAACAACCUAAUUUUAAAAAUAUUUUUUACAGCAGUCGUUAUCCUAACCUGCCAGUUCCCUGAUCCUCCAAGCAGGAUUUCAAAUAAGUGAAGAAGCUCCCUGCUCUUUCUUCAAUACUUUGGCGAAAAUAGCAUUUCACAGUCACGCUCUGCCUUUACAUGAAUGACACCAUUGCUUCCAGAAGGAUCUAGAACCAUCUAGCAGACACAACUAAUCAUAAAAAUACCGAGAUAACAAAGAGAAUCAGUGCUAUUAGUCUCAACAAAUUAAUAUGAGCAUAAAACGAGACUGAUUUACUUAUGUAGCAAGAGGAACUGUCUUUUAGACCAGAAAUGGAUUAAGCAUUCAGAAAGCUGUUUUUACAAGAACGAUUAGUAGUGGUAUUUUCUUCCUUACCACUUAGAAUACAUACUGCCUGCUGGAGACUUGAAAUAAUGUCAACUUUGAAGGCCACACAUGAGAUAGACUAUGAUCCACAAAACACUGUAAAAAGAGUCUCCAGACUGAAUAUCCAGGUUUUUUGUUUGUUUGUUUGUUUGUUUGCCAUAUAGUUGGUAAUUGAUAAAUUCCACUGUCACUGGUGAGAAUGGAUCCUGGUUAGAACAGCAGUCUGAUUUAUGAGCAUUCAGCACUGUCAAGUAGGAAGCUCACCAGACACAAAAGUCCAGUUCCACAGAAGCAGAAGUGCAGAACAUUUCAGAAGUCUAAUUCCAUUUGUCCAGUCUGUAAGAAUAACCAGAUUUUCUAAACUGAUCAUGGUUUUUUUUUUCAUUGACACCCAGUAGUCCUAUCAUGCCUAAAAAUAAAGGCUGUCAUUUUAGGUGUUUGCAUCUAGAUGGUUUCUUCCAUGUUUAUGGAAAUUCUGAUCACUGAAGAGAUAAUCUAGAGCUCACACCAUAACAAAAAAGACAACAUAAGCACCUCUAUUUUUACUAUGUAAAACUCCUCUGCUGCUCCAGUGCACACAGCAUUACUGGUCCAUGCUUGGAACGAGAUGUUAUGAUACGCAAUACUAUGGGCAUGCACUGAAAUGAGUAAAUUCAUCACUCAUGUUUUACAUAAACAGCUGCUUAAAAUCCAUUUCACAGAACCCAGGAUAACAUCCCACAUAUUUCUGACAAAAAGCCCGUAAUACAGAAACAACUUAUUAAAAUACAGGACUUACUUUUUGUAUGUUGGUUCUUAAACUGCUUACACACACUGGUGCAAUUGGAACGAGAGAGAAGGAUGGGGACAGGAAUGGCUCUUCUACUUACUUGCUUUGCAUGAACAACGAUCCACAUAGAUCCUGGCAAAAGAGUUAACUUCACAAUCAUGGGUGGCUCAGCUAUGUAGUACCUAUUGAACUUGUAUCCCUCAGGAAAGGUAUUGAAUCUCCAUCCAGGAAUUUGGCACAUGGUGGAGCAGUGCUGUUUCAAGAUUCAUUUACAAGGGGAAUGUUGUAGAGUUUGGCUUCUCUAGUUCUUUUCCACAGACUUCUUCCUGGAGCUAUUCCAAGCUUGGCCACAGGCAUGACCAAGGGUAUGCAGCUCACAAGAGUACAAAUUGUUGCAGGUCUUCAAGGUGACAGCAAAGCUGGCGCAGACUUGAAUGUGCCUCUGCACCUUAACAAAGCAGCCAUCAAGACCUGAUUCUGUCUUCCUUGGCACAAUGGCUUCCGGAAAUGCAGUGGAACAUGGAUUCAUACAGAUGUUCCUGUACUUGUACAGGUUGAUCAGCACCAUUACAAAACAAGAGAUGGACACAGAGGAAAAGCAGGAACCAACUCAUACUUCACAACAUGGCUCUAAAGCCACAUAAACUAGCACAGAGCAGAGCUCUUUAAACUCUGUGCAUAAACUGGUGCAUAACCAAACCAGCCUGAGAUGACAAGGACAUGAGGACCACUGCAGAACAGCUCUGUUCCAGGAGCACAGCAACAGAAUGGGUCUGAAGUCAUCCUCGUGCCCCUCCAGUUACUGGCUGGAGAAGAACAGUUCCAUUUUCAGAAUGAGGUCCCAUCAUACUGUCAGAGAGCUGGGCUGAAAACUGCUGAGAAAUAUGAAGGAACUGUUCCUCAAAUACAGCUGUGACAGAAUUGAGGCGAGGUGUGCUCCCAGCCACACAAGACUGGUUCACUGCCAUACAGUGCUUCUCAGCAGCACUGCAGCAUACUGAUACGUUAACAUGAGAUACAGAAAAACAAGAAAACUGGUGAUGGCCAUUUAUUCCAUGAUUUCAAGCAUGUUAAAGUACCCUUAACUCUUUCUAAAACAGAGCUGAACCAAUGUUCAAAAAAAACUUAGAAAACCAGUUACUGGGGGGGGGGGGGGGAGGGGAAUGAAAUGCAGCUCACAGGUGAUGCAAUUUAUCAGUUAAACAUCAGGACACAAGUGAAAAAGCACAGAGAAACUGCACAGCUGCAUUUAAUUGUAGUGUUUUUGAAAGUCACUCACCUAAACCAAAGAAGUGAAUAUUGCAAGGGGCUUGCCGUAUUUCUGUUACAAUGCCCUGAAGAAACAGAGGGCUCUACCAGCACGCACCUAAUUGGGAGCUGACUGGUCUCCACUUAGAUACUCUACUGCAAAAAUGGGAUCUCAGCUGAUUUAGUAGAACUUGGCUCCAUCAUCUCCUUUGAAUUAAAGGAAUACUGCUGAGUCACAUAGCUGUAACAGUCUCUAAUCAACUAGGAUCUUCUACCAGCACAAAUGUCAGAAGCACUUACACCUCAAUUCUUGCCCAUACAUCCUCCAAGGACAUUCAAGAGCUAAUAGAAUCAUAGGAUGGUUUGGGUUGGAAGGGACCUCUAAGACCACCUGGUUCCAACCCCCUGCUAUAGGCAGGGACACCUCCCUCCAGCCCAGGUUGCUCACAGCCCCAUCCAGCCU
Long non-coding RNA from Gallus gallus (chicken), 5447 nucleotides. RefSeq lists it as uncharacterized. NCBI's taxonomy places the organism in Eukaryota, Metazoa, Chordata, Aves, Galliformes, Phasianidae. The record is from RefSeq and is a predicted model, not a curated record. The transcript is spliced from 3 exons.